CCCACGAAGUACAAGGCAUCAAGGCCGAACCAGGUAUCCCACCAGCCACUGCCGACGCACCACUUCCGGGAAGUAAAUAGAGCAUCACAUAUUCCCCGUUGUUUUUUAAACGCAGUAUGUUUUUAAUGAUUUAGUUAUGUAAGAAAAAGUGGCAAGAAAAGAACUCGAGAAGUCGAGAGUCGAGAUUUAUUGUGGCCACUCACACCGAGCAAGGAGAUGCUUUGUUAAUUGUUAUUGCCAGACUCGUAGUUUCAGCAAAUAUUCGUCUGCUAGACAGAGAAAGCGUUAAGCGUGUCACGAAAUUCUUUACUGUGUCGUGUUUUCUAUUCAUGAAAAAAGGCAACCGCAAUUGCUACCUGUAAGUCGAAAAAAGCAUCACACUACCUCCUACUACCACUGCUCUUAAUUACAACACGGAGUUUUCAUCUUGAGAUUGAUUGGCGGUGUCUUCAGGAAGACGAGAAGAAGGAGAUGAUGAUUUUGCCAAGGAGAAUAUUGAAUCUAGAAUCUAGAUGGCUAUAUCCUAUAUCCUUAAGAUGAAUCUCCAAUUCAACACACUACGGCCGAAUGGUUCUGGGACCAAGAAUUAUUCGCAAUUUUAGUGUCGCCGAUUCGCCAAUUAUUUUUUAUGCCGUUUGCAUCGUAUCGGACUCGAACAUUACCGCAAUGAACCGAAACUAGAACUCUAUUAUGUUGCCAGAAGUCACAAAAGACCAGGAGAUCGUGUCUUUGUGAGAAUGGCCCUAGUUCACCCCCAGUCAAUCAGGUUGAACAAAUUGCGUCGGAGCCGGGAACUUAUUGUGGUUAUUCCAUGGAAAUUGGUAGAUUUGGAAGUCGACGAGUAGUUUGGUUCGUGGAUCGAAUCAUUCGUUCGACUGAAAUAUAUCUCUGUUCUCUCGGAUAACCCGGCUCAACAACUCACAUAUCUCGUCCAGAAUCAACUCGCUUAUUCACUCAUUUGGGGAUCCAACGAAGAAAACCUUUAUUCCGCAGCGAAAUUUUCCAAUGUCGUACCAUACGAGGUCGUCGGAAUUCAGCAUAGGAAAAAUCCACACUGCUUCGGUCAAUUUGCUGGACAUUAUUCCGGUAAUUGGUAAAAGAUUCGUUAGGGUGCGCUUAAAGUCGCAUUUCCGACUUAUGCGUCAGACAGUUGGCGUAUUGGCCCAGCCAAAACCAUCUUAGCCAACUUCAUGGGCACUAGUAACAAUUGUUCCAUGAUCGCCGGAAAUCUGAUUGACGGCGAUGGGUUCUUCGGUUCUUCCACGUCUAGUUUUAGUGAUGGUAAGAGUACUACGCUGCGGUUUUGCCAUCUCUCAUAUCGGUCCAUUAAAGCACACAGCAGUAACAACGCUCGAGAAACAACGGCGUAAAAGAUUGUCCCACGUUUACCUUGGACUGUGUAUCUCAGGAGUGUUUUGUUUUCUUUUAAAUGUUACAGGACAUUAGUGUACGUAAGAACAGACAGUCAUGGGAAAUGGUGGGAGACAACAUGGAGGGGGACAUGAGAAGAGAAUAGGAGUCAAACCCAGAAAAAACUAGGUGCAAUAGAAGAAACAAGAACGAAUAAUAAGGCAAUCUUCC
Molecule: long non-coding RNA, 1581 nt
Filed under: Daphnia pulicaria
Lineage: Eukaryota; Metazoa; Arthropoda; Branchiopoda; Diplostraca; Daphniidae
Description: uncharacterized LOC124350295, transcript variant X1
Source: RNAcentral